Molecule: ribosomal RNA, 463 nt
Filed under: uncultured bacterium
Lineage: Bacteria
Description: bacterial SSU rRNA
Rfam family: Bacterial small subunit ribosomal RNA
Source: RNAcentral
AGUGAACGCUGGCGGCAGGCCUAACACAUGCAAGUCGAACGGCAGCACGGCAGUAGCAAUACUGUGGGUGGCGAGUGGCGGACGGGUGAGGAAUACAUCGGGAUCUACCCUGUUGUGGGGGAUAACGUAGGGAAACUUACGCUAAUACCGCAUAAGAACUGAGGUUGAAAGCGGCGGACCGCAAGGCGUCGCGCGAUUGGAUGAACCGAUGUCCGAUUAGCUAGUUGGCGGGGUAAAGGCCCACCAAGGCGACGAUCGGUAGCUGGUCUGAGAGGACGACCAGCCACACUGGAACUGAGACACGGCCCAGACUCCUACGGGAGGCAGCAGUGGGGAAUAUUGGACAAUGGGCGAAAGCCUGAUCCAGCAAUGCCGCGUGAGUGAUGAAGGCCUUAGGGUUGUAAAGCUCUUUUACCAGGGAUGAUAAUGACAGUACCUGGAGAUAAGCUCGGCUAACUCCGUG